AUACAGAGGGUGCGAGCGUUAAUCGGAAUUACUGGGCGUAAAGCGCGCGUAGGCGGUCUAUUAAGUCAGAUGUGAAAUCCCAGGGCUCAACCUUGGAACUGCAUUUGAAACUGGGUAACUAGAGUUUAGUAGAGGGAAGUAGAAUUUCAGGUGUAGCGGUGAAAUGCAUAGAUAUCUGAAGGAAUACCAGUGGCGAAGGUGGCUUCCUGGCCUAAAACUGACGCUGAGGUGCGAAAGCGUGGGUAGCAAACGGGAUUAGAAAUCCCAGUAGUCC
Molecule: ribosomal RNA, 274 nt
Filed under: uncultured bacterium
Lineage: Bacteria
Description: partial 16S ribosomal RNA
Rfam family: Bacterial small subunit ribosomal RNA
Source: RNAcentral